CUCUCCUGCAAAGCUGGGGAGUGGUGAGUGGAAGCUGCAGGUCCACGUCGAAGCUCAACCGUUGCUUGUCGCUCAUUCGUCCUUCGGUCGUGGUUCGAACGUCGGCUGUUGCGCAAAGAAGGUGUUUCGUUCGAGCAGUCGAUGUCGCUGUCGUCGAUAUUAGAUCUGACCGUCGUUGACCACCAUCUAACGCCGCUAGCCCGACAAGAUCGCCACUAAAAAGUGCAUUUCAGCGAGCUUUUGGUGGUUAUCCAGCAGAUUUUGAGGUUUUUAGUAAGUAAAAGUUAUUGGGGCUUGACUCAAGGUCUUAUUAGGCAAAGGGGAGAUAAGCUUGUUUGAACACAUUUAGCCUUAAUUUCAAGGUAUGUAAUCUUACUAUUAGAACCAUCUUUGUGUCGGGUGAUAUAAUUAGGAUAAUUUUGAUGAUUCUAAGACUGUAAAUCGCGAUGCUUGAUUAGAGAGAAUAUAUGAGCAUAUAAUAAAUAUGUUUGAAUUAUAUUGUAUGUAUGAACAUGAUUUAGAAUUUUAAAAGGAUGAAUGAGCAUGAACUAAAUUUUAUAUGAUAUGUUAUCAGGAUGUAUGAACAUAAUGUCAUAAUUCCAUUAUUAAGGGACUCUGAUUUAUUGCAUGAUAUUUAUGUUAAUGAUAGUCGCCCCGAACCCGUAAUCUUGUACCCACUAGAGGUUAGUGUCUCCUUUGAGAUUCACCAAAGGUUAGUGAUCCCUCGAGAUUCACUAGAGUUUAGUUUCUCUUUCAGGAUUCACAAAGGUUAGUGUCCCCCUUAGGAUUCACAAAGGUUAGUGUCUCCUUCAGGAUUCACCAGAGGUUAGUGUUUCCUUGGGGAUUUAAUAGAAGUUUGUGACUCCUUCGGGGUUCAAUUAUCACCUAGAUGGUCAUCUAUGAUAAGUAGAUGUUUUUGUAUGUCCCACUAGAAUGUUGGAUUUAUUAGACAUAAAUGCAUAGCCUAACCUCGGUAGUAAUGUUACUUACUGAGUAUUUUAUACUCAUUUUUUUUAAUGUUACAUUUUUUAGAAAAAAAUAAAGGACACAUCGACGAAUGAUAGAGGGAAUUUGAGACUGUGCCAUUUGGGACUAGAGAGAUGCUUCUACUCAUUCUCAUGUUUUAAUGUUUUAGAUACCAAUCUUGAUGUUUGAACGUAGAGUUCCGUUGUUUGAAGUUUUUAUAAAGCUUCAUGAAGUUUAUUUUGAACUUACUAUUUAGGGGGACUCCAAUCAAAGAUUUUUAGUUAUUUAGAUUUUACAAAAACUAUUUAUCUAAUAUAAUUCUUUUGAUUUUUAGUUAUAAUUUAUGAAAGAGUCAUUUUGAGAUUUAUGUAUGCAUGUGGUAACGACCUAGAUAAGUCUUAGAAAGUUGGGUUGUUACAGAUUCUGGUAAUUCUUCUUCUACUACUUCUUCACCCAUUCCUACUUCUACCAUUUAAAAUACUAUGCCAGUUGUGGUU
This is a non-coding RNA of Benincasa hispida (wax gourd), 1463 nucleotides long. Lineage: Eukaryota; Viridiplantae; Streptophyta; Magnoliopsida; Cucurbitales; Cucurbitaceae. The record is from RefSeq and is a predicted model, not a curated record.